Molecule: ribosomal RNA, 877 nt
Filed under: uncultured bacterium
Lineage: Bacteria
Description: bacterial SSU rRNA
Rfam family: Bacterial small subunit ribosomal RNA
Source: RNAcentral
AGAGUUUGAUCCUGGCUCAGAAUCAACGCUGGCGGCGCGCUUAACACAUGCAAGUCGAACGAGAAAGUGGAGCAAUCCAUGAGUACAGUGGCGUACGGGUGAGUAACACGUGGGUAAUCUAACUCUUAGUGUGGAAUAACCCUGGGAAACCGGGGCUAAUACCGCAUAAGCCCGAGAGGGGAAAGUCGCAAGACGCUGAGAGAGGAGCCCGCGGCCGAUUAGCUAGUUGGCAGGGUAAAAGCCUACCAAGGCAAAGAUCGGUAGCCGGCCUGAGAGGGCACACGGCCACACUGGCACUGAAACACGGGCCAGACUCCUACGGGAGGCAGCAGUGGGGAAUCUUGCACAAUGGGGGCAACCCUGAUGCAGCGACGCCGCGUGAGCGAUGAAGCCCUUCGGGGCGUAAAGCUCUUUCGGCAGGGACGAUAAUGACGGUACCUGCAGAAGCAGCUGCGGCUAACUACGUGCCAGCAGCCGCGGUAAUACGUAGGCAGCGAGCGUUGUUCGGAGUUACUGGGCGUAAAGGGUGUGUAGGCGGUCGUUUAAGUUUGGUGUGAAAUCUCCCGGCUCAACUGGGAGGGUGCGCCGAAUACUGAGCGGCUAGAGUGCGGGAGAGGAGAGUGGAAUUCCUGGUGUAGCGGUGAAAUGCGUAGAUAUCAGGAGGAACACCGGCGGUGUAAACGGCUCUCUGGACCGCAACUGACGCUGAGACACGAAAGCGUGGGUAGCAAACAGGAUUAGAUACCCUGGUAGUCCACGCCCUAAACGAUGCAUAUUUGGUGUUGGGGCAGUUCAUUCUGUCCGUGCCGGAGCUAACGCGUUAAAUAUGCCGCCUGGGGAGUACAGUCGCAAGGCUGAAACUCAAAUGAAUUGACGG